UAGGGAAUCUUCCACAAUGGGCGAAAGCCUGAUGGAGCAACGCCGCGUGUGUGAUGAAGGGUUUCGGCUCGUAAAACACUGUUGUAAGGGAAGAAUGACAUUGAGAGUAACUGUUCAAUGUGUGACGGUAUCUUACCAGAAAGGAACGGCUAAAUACGUGCCAG
Molecule: ribosomal RNA, 164 nt
Filed under: uncultured bacterium
Lineage: Bacteria
Description: partial 16S ribosomal RNA
Rfam family: Bacterial small subunit ribosomal RNA
Source: RNAcentral